RNAcentral lists this ribosomal RNA (254 nucleotides) under uncultured bacterium. RNAcentral describes it as "partial 16S ribosomal RNA". It matches the Rfam family "Bacterial small subunit ribosomal RNA", at positions 524 to 776 of the family's 1533-position model. The record is from RNAcentral.
UACGGAGGGUGCAAGCGUUGUUCGGAAUUAUUGGGCGUAAAGCGCGUGUAGGUGGCUUGAUAAGUCUGAUGUGAAAGCCCAGGGCUCAACCCUGGAAGUGCAUUGGAAACUGUCGAGCUUGAGUACUGGAGGGGGAAGUGGAAUUCUCGAGUGUAGAGGUGAAAUUCGUAGAUAUUCGGAAGAACAUCAGUGGCGAAGGCGACUUCCUGGACAGAUACUGACACUGAGACGCGAAAGCGUGGGUAGCAAACAGG